Long non-coding RNA from Ceratitis capitata (Mediterranean fruit fly), 940 nucleotides. RefSeq lists it as uncharacterized. The record is from RefSeq and is a predicted model, not a curated record. The transcript has 3 exons. Lineage: Eukaryota; Metazoa; Arthropoda; Insecta; Diptera; Tephritidae.
UAAAGUGGCUUUAAUAGAUAUACUAUUUAUGCGCUCAAGAACCACAUAAUGGACUUACAUGCGUUCUCGCCUAUAUAUCAAUGUUAAAGUUUUUGAAACGCUGACAGAAGAAUUUCCGUUCGCUAAAUGCAUGCUACAGCUGAGUAUGUUUCUUUGUAAAUUUUUGUUUUAUUUCUGCACCACGAUCACCUAUAAAAGAAACGAACUGUUUCUCUGUCCUCCCUCUUUUCCCCACCGAUUUGCUAUAUACUGCUCUAUUUGCUCUAAGAGGGUAAUUGUUUUUGACAAAAAGAAAAAUGAAUAACAAUAUGCGAGGGAAAAUGUCGCUUAAACCAUAUUCUUUUACUUUUCUAUGCUGAUUCUUGCAAACAAACAAACAAACUACACUCCGUAGAGAUAGUCGCCUGAAAUUUUGUGUGGUUGAUGUUAGAGCGCUUUUAACUUAUGCAAAUGCUUAGGCCGUUGGGAUCCACGCUUGCGCCACGACAAACUGGCGCGAAAACGCAAUGCCGGUUGAAAUGCUAUAAAACGUGAUUCAUAUAAAUGAUGAAACCAAUACGGAGUUUGAGUUGGGAUUCCUUUCAAAAUACUUAUUAUUCAACAUAAAUUUCUUUCACCUGGAUCAUCAAGCCAUCGAAGAAAAAAUUAGGGUAUUCAUAGGGUGUCGCGGUAUGACACGUCAUAUCUUCUUAUUUUUUAUGACUCUCAUGUAAGGAAUUUUGUUGUUUCCCAUGUAAAAUUGGAAUAAGACAAAUACAAGAUAUGGAGGUAUAUUUUUCGAUAGUGCUAUUCUGUAAGCGGCGCCGGUAGCCGAGUGGUUAGCAUUGCGUACUCCCAUUCGGAAGACCCGGGUUCAAGUUCUGGUACGACAAACAUCCAAAAGUUGUAGAAAAUUAAUUAAAAAAAAAAAAAAAAUAACUUAAAUUUUUUAACUGCGAAU